GGUUAAGCGACUAAGCGUACACGGUGGAUGCCCUGGCAGUCAGAGGCGAUGAAGGACGUGCUAAUCUGCGAUAAGCGUCGGUAAGGUGAUAUGAACCGUUAUAACCGGCGAUUUCCGAAUGGGGAAACCCAGUGUGAUUCGUCACACUAUCAUUAACUGAAUCCAUAGGUUAAUGAGGCGAACCGGGGGAACUGAAACAUCUAAGUACCCCGAGGAAAAGAAAUCAACCGAGAUUCCCCCAGUAGCGGCGAGCGAACGGGGAGCAGCCCAGAGCCUGAAUCAGUGUGUGUGUUAGUGGAAGCGUCUGGAAAGGCGCGCGAUACAGGGUGACAGCCCCGUACACAAAAAUGCACAUACUGUGAGCUCGAUGAGUAGGGCGGGACACGUGGUAUCCUGUCUGAAUAUGGGGGGACCAUCCUCCAAGGCUAAAUACUCCUGACUGACCGAUAGUGAACCAGUACCGUGAGGGAAAGGCGAAAAGAACCCCGGCGAGGGGAGUGAAAAAGAACCUGAAACCGUGUACGUACAAGCAGUGGGAGCACGCUUAGGCGUGUGACUGCGUACCUUUUGUAUAAUGGGUCAGCGACUUAUAUUCUGUAGCAAGGUUAACCGAAUAGGGGAGCCGAAGGGAAACCGAGUCUUAACUGGGCGUUAAGUUGCAGGGUAUAGACCCGAAACCCGGUGAUCUAGCCAUGGGCAGGUUGAAGGUUGGGUAACACUAACUGGAGGACCGAACCGACUAAUGUUGAAAAAUUAGCGGAUGACUUGUGGCUGGGGGUGAAAGGCCAAUCAAACCGGGAGAUAGCUGGUUCUCCCCGAAAGCUAUUUAGGUAGCGCCUCGUGAAUUCAUCUCCGGGGGUAGAGCACUGUUUCGGCAAGGGGGUCAUCCCGACUUACCAACCCGAUGCAAACUGCGAAUACCGGAGAAUGUUAUCACGGGAGACACACGGCGGGUGCUAACGUCCGUCGUGAAGAGGGAAACAACCCAGACCGCCAGCUAAGGUCCCAAAGUCAUGGUUAAGUGGGAAACGAUGUGGGAAGGCCCAGACAGCCAGGAUGUUGGCUUAGAAGCAGCCAUCAUUUAAAGAAAGCGUAAUAGCUCACUGGUCGAGUCGGCCUGCGCGGAAGAUGUAACGGGGCUAAACCAUGCACCGAAGCUGCGGCAGCGACGCUGAUGCGUUGUUGGGUAGGGGAGCGUUCUGUAAGCCUGUGAAGGUGUGCUGUGAGGCAUGCUGGAGGUAUCAGAAGUGCGAAUGCUGACAUAAGUAACGAUAAAGCGGGUGAAAAGCCCGCUCGCCGGAAGACCAAGGGUUCCUGUCCAACGUUAAUCGGGGCAGGGUGAGUCGACCCCUAAGGCGAGGCCGAAAGGCGUAGUCGAUGGGAAACAGGUUAAUAUUCCUGUACUUGGUGUUACUGCGAAGGGGGGACGGAGAAGGCUAUGUUGGCCGGGCGACGGUUGUCCCGGUUUAAGCGUGUAGGCUGGUUUUCCAGGCAAAUCCGGAAAAUCAAGGCUGAGGCGUGAUGACGAGGCACUACGGUGCUGAAGCAACAAAUGCCCUGCUUCCAGGAAAAGCCUCUAAGCAUCAGGUAACAUCAAAUCGUACCCCAAACCGACACAGGUGGUCAGGUAGAGAAUACCAAGGCGCUUGAGAGAACUCGGGUGAAGGAACUAGGCAAAAUGGUGCCGUAACUUCGGGAGAAGGCACGCUGAUAUGUAGGUGAAGUCCCUCGCGGAUGGAGCUGAAAUCAGUCGAAGAUACCAGCUGGCUGCAACUGUUUAUUAAAAACACAGCACUGUGCAAACACGAAAGUGGACGUAUACGGUGUGACGCCUGCCCGGUGCCGGAAGGUUAAUUGAUGGGGUCAGCGCAAGCGAAGCUCUUGAUCGAAGCCCCGGUAAACGGCGGCCGUAACUAUAACGGUCCUAAGGUAGCGAAAUUCCUUGUCGGGUAAGUUCCGACCUGCACGAAUGGCGUAAUGAUGGCCAGGCUGUCUCCACCCGAGACUCAGUGAAAUUGAACUCGCUGUGAAGAUGCAGUGUACCCGCGGCAAGACGGAAAGACCCCGUGAACCUUUACUAUAGCUUGACACUGAACAUUGAGCCUUGAUGUGUAGGAUAGGUGGGAGGCUUAGAAGUGUGGACGCCAGUCUGCAUGGAGCCGACCUUGAAAUACCACCCUUUAAUGUUUGAUGUUCUAACGUUGACCCGUAAUCCGGGUUGCGGACAGUGUCUGGUGGGUAGUUUGACUGGGGCGGUCUCCUCCUAAAGAGUAACGGAGGAGCACGAAGGUUGGCUAAUCCUGGUCGGACAUCAGGAGGUUAGUGCAAUGGCAUAAGCCAGCUUGACUGCGAGCGUGACGGCGCGAGCAGGUGCGAAAGCAGGUCAUAGUGAUCCGGUGGUUCUGAAUGGAAGGGCCAUCGCUCAACGGAUAAAAGGUACUCCGGGGAUAACAGGCUGAUACCGCCCAAGAGUUCAUAUCGACGGCGGUGUUUGGCACCUCGAUGUCGGCUCAUCACAUCCUGGGGCUGAAGUAGGUCCCAAGGGUAUGGCUGUUCGCCAUUUAAAGUGGUACGCGAGCUGGGUUUAGAACGUCGUGAGACAGUUCGGUCCCUAUCUGCCGUGGGCGCUGGAGAACUGAGGGGGGCUGCUCCUAGUACGAGAGGACCGGAGUGGACGCAUCACUGGUGUUCGGGUUGUCAUGCCAAUGGCACUGCCCGGUAGCUAAAUGCGGAAGAGAUAAGUGCUGAAAGCAUCUAAGCACGAAACUUGCCCCGAGAUGAGUUCUCCCUGACUCCUUGAGAGUCCUGAAGGAACGUUGAAGACGACGACGUUGAUAGGCCGGGUGUGUAAGCGCAGCGAUGCGUUGAGCUAACCGGUACUAAUGAACCGUGAGGCUUAACCUU
Molecule: ribosomal RNA, 2904 nt
Filed under: Escherichia coli
Lineage: Bacteria; Pseudomonadati; Pseudomonadota; Gammaproteobacteria; Enterobacterales; Enterobacteriaceae
Description: 23S ribosomal RNA
Rfam family: Bacterial large subunit ribosomal RNA
Source: RNAcentral